Molecule: ribosomal RNA, 112 nt
Filed under: Caerostris darwini
Lineage: Eukaryota; Metazoa; Arthropoda; Arachnida; Araneae; Araneidae
Source: RNAcentral
AACGGCCGUACCAUGCUGAAUAUACCGGUUCUCGUUAGAUCACCGAAGUUUAAGCAUCAUUGGGCGCGGUCAGUAUUGGGUGGGUGACCACCUGGGAACACUGCGUGCCGUU